UGGGGAAUUUUGGACAAUGGGGGCAACCCUGAUGCAGCGACGCCGCGUGAGUGAUGAAGGCCUUAGGGUUGUAAAGCUCUUUUACCCGGGAUGAUAAUGACAGUACCGGGAGAAUAAGCCCCGGCUAACUCCGUGCCAGCAGCCGCGGUAAUACGGAGGGGGCUAGCGUUGUUCGGAAUUACUGGGCGUAAAGCGCACGUAGGCGGCUUUGUAAGUUAGAGGUGAAAGCCCGGAGCUCAACUCCGGAACUGCCUUUAAGACUGCAUCGCUUGAACGUCGGAGAGGUAAGUGGAAUUCCGAGUGUAGAGGUGAAAUUCGUAGAUAUUCGGAAGAACACCAGUGGCGAAGGCGACUUACUGGACGACUGUUGACGCUGAGGUGCGAAAGCGUGGGGAGCAAA
Molecule: ribosomal RNA, 400 nt
Filed under: uncultured bacterium
Lineage: Bacteria
Description: bacterial SSU rRNA
Rfam family: Bacterial small subunit ribosomal RNA
Source: RNAcentral